This 598-nucleotide long non-coding RNA is filed under the name Homo sapiens (human). RNAcentral's name for it is "HSALNT0025261". The record is from RNAcentral. Lineage: Eukaryota; Metazoa; Chordata; Mammalia; Primates; Hominidae.
CCGCUGCACUCCAGCCUGGGUGAUAGAGCAAGACUCAGUCUCAAAAAAAAAUAAAUAAAAAAUAAAAAAUAAAGCCACAUAGUUAGUAGUAAAUUGUGAUGGCAGCCAUAAGAAACAAACACCUGUCUCUCAGCCUAUCACUCAUCUAUCCACACACAUUCAUUGUUCUCUUCCCUGUACCUAUUACGCCAGUGCCAGAUAAAUUCUUCCUUAACACUGUGGUUCUUGGACUUGGCCAAGUUCAAACCAAGGCCUGGGUCCCACCUGCAGAUAUUCUCAUUUAAUUCGCCUGGGGUGUGGCUUAGGCAUUAGGAUUUUUUUUUUUAAUCUCCCAAGUAAUUCUAGUGUGAAGCCAAAAUUGAGAAUUCCUGCUUUCAGGCAAAGAAAUCUUCCCAUUCCCCUGCUCCGGAAUCCCCAUUGACUGUGUCCUGCCUACCAGAUAAAACGUGAUACCAGCAAACACUCACAUGCUGCUCUACAACGUCCAAAGUGCAUUCAAGUGCAUGCAUUAUGAAGAUCUUUACCAGAUGAGGAAAGCACCAGUUUCAUGCUCCUCUGUCCUCGCUCAUCAGCGCUGGCGCAGCCGCCGAGUCUUCUA